UGGGCAUCAUGAAUUUCUCUGUGGAGCAUAUGCAUAUGUUCUGAAGUCUUUUAUUUCUGAUUCUAAAAUGUUGAUUGGAAGUUUUUCAGUGUGCUGGUGUCAAAAGCCUUGAAGUCUAAGGCAUUUUUGUUGCCAGUUCUUUAAAUUUUAUAAAUUGCAGUCAUAAAGACAUCAACUUAGGACUAGUUUGUUGGAAUUUCUAUUCAGAUGAGACAAUCUUUGAAAAAUGAGUGAGAGAGAGAGAGAGAG
Molecule: unclassified non-coding RNA, 249 nt
Filed under: Hevea brasiliensis (rubber tree)
Lineage: Eukaryota; Viridiplantae; Streptophyta; Magnoliopsida; Malpighiales; Euphorbiaceae
Source: RNAcentral